Long non-coding RNA from Mytilus trossulus (common blue mussel), 509 nucleotides. RefSeq lists it as uncharacterized. The transcript has 3 exons. NCBI's taxonomy places the organism in Eukaryota, Metazoa, Mollusca, Bivalvia, Mytilida, Mytilidae. The record is from RefSeq and is a predicted model, not a curated record.
UGAUCGGGCACCUUGUUGUGAUAGAAGUCAGUGUCUUCAGUUCGACAACAACACGUUAAUAUAGAUGUGGGUUGGUUAUAUUUUGAGAUUGAUUUACAACUGGCACACAUAAGUUGACAGUUAAUGCAUAAAGAGUGUAGUUUCUAUAACAUCAAAUAUGAGGUCUAUACACAAUCAAAUUACAUGCAUGAAGAUAACUUGGAGGCAAUGGUGUCAUACAAGUUUAAUAGUUUUAACUAUGAUAGCCUUACUGAAAUUUGAAAAAAGUAAUCAAAGAAAAAGAGUGACCACUUCUGUCUUAUGAAGAUCAACAUAUAUACAAGGAAAUUGCCAGACAAUGUGUAACCAUGUAUGAGGAUAGCUUUAGAUAUAUACAUGAAAAGAAAGUGAAAUCAAUGUUUUUAAGAUAAAAUCUUGAUGACAUAUAACAAAAAUAUAACAGUGUUGAAUAUGAAAACCCCAUGGCAUGUCACAUGUAACUUUGGAAUGCAGCAGUUUUCAGUAUGACA